GCAGGCAAAGCAUCACUUUAAAAAAAGAAAAAAAUCAAAGGCUUCUUUUCAAUCAUCUGAUUUUUUUUCUUAAAAAUUUAGAAAUUCCAUCAUUUAAAAUUGAUAGUUUUCUAUGUAUAUAAAUCUCAUUGUAAUAAUAUAUAUUUUUUUAUAAAAAUGAAGAUAUAAUAUGUUACAGUACUUACUGAAUGAUUAAUAAUACAACUGUCAGGUU
Molecule: long non-coding RNA, 214 nt
Filed under: Elaeis guineensis (African oil palm)
Lineage: Eukaryota; Viridiplantae; Streptophyta; Magnoliopsida; Arecales; Arecaceae
Description: long non-coding RNA (EGUI_LNC043542)
Source: RNAcentral